CGGCGAGUGAAGCGGGAAAAGCCCAUCGUUGAAUCUCCCGGGGCCUAGCCCAGGGCGAGUUGUGACGGUAUGGAUUGGCUUUCUAGUGUGGCGCGCCGACCAAAGUCCUCCGGAUUGAGGCGCCAAAGAGGGUGACAGCCCCGUAGACGGUCGGCGCAAAGCGCGUAUGUUACCAACUCCUAGAGUCGGGUUGUUUGGGAUUGCAACCUAAAGCAGGUGGUAAACUCCAUCUAAGGCUAAAUAUGGACACGAAACCGAUAGCGAACAAGUACCGUGAGGGAAAGUUGAAAAGAACCCUGAAAAGAGAGUUAAAAGUACGUGAAACCGCUAACGGGGAAGCGGAAGGCAGUGUCGAGACUGUGCGUGGUGGGCGGUCAAUUGCGGCCGUCAGCUGCGCGUAGUGCGUCAGGCCUGCUGGUGGGCGUGCGGAAGCGGGGCAUGGCUCUCGUAGGCUCUUCGGACUCUACGUUUGCGGCCCUGUGAAAGUGCGCGUGCUGGCAUGUUUGUGGAGAAGCGCCGGCGGCCAUCUUCGGAAGGUCGGUUGAUGCUUGGGGGUGCUGCGUCGUGUCUAAAGUUUGGGCACGGCGUCGUGGC
RNAcentral lists this ribosomal RNA (594 nucleotides) under Unicapsula pflugfelderi. RNAcentral describes it as "eukaryotic LSU rRNA". It matches the Rfam family "Eukaryotic large subunit ribosomal RNA", at positions 87 to 501 of the family's 3401-position model. Lineage: Eukaryota; Metazoa; Cnidaria; Myxozoa; Multivalvulida; Trilosporidae. The record is from RNAcentral.